This is a non-coding RNA of Gossypium raimondii (Peruvian cotton), 145 nucleotides long. Lineage: Eukaryota; Viridiplantae; Streptophyta; Magnoliopsida; Malvales; Malvaceae. The record is from Rfam.
UGUUUAAAAUUCCAUCCAUUGCUACUGUUAAAAAUCGACGUGGUUGACAAAAUAACCAAACAAUUCCACGUGGUGUACCACGUGCACCUCAUGUUGGCAUACAAUGACUAGUUUUUAAUAGUAGAAAUUGAUGAAUUUUUUAACA